This 547-nucleotide long non-coding RNA is filed under the name Homo sapiens (human). Its description in RNAcentral is "non-protein coding lnc-PITX1-4:3". The record is from RNAcentral. Lineage: Eukaryota; Metazoa; Chordata; Mammalia; Primates; Hominidae.
AAACAGACCUAAAAUCGCUCAUUGCAUACUCUUCAAUCAGCCACAUAGCCCUCGUAGUAACAGCCAUCCUCAUCCAAACCCCCUGAAGCUUCACCGGCGCAGUCAUUCUCAUAGUCGCCCACGGACUUACAUCCUCAUUACUAUUCUGCCUAGCAAACUCAAACUACGAACGUACCCACAGUCGCAUCAUAAUUCUCUCUCAAGGACUUCAAACCCUACUCCCACUAAUAGCCUUUUGAUGACUUCUAGCAAGCCUCACUAAUCUCGCCUUACCCCCCACUAUUAACCUACUAGGAGAACUCUCUGUGCUAGUAACCACAUUCUCCUGAUCAAAUAUCACUCUCCUACUUACAGGACUCAACAUACUAAUCACAGCCCUAUACUCCCUCUACAUAUUUACCACAACACAAUGAGGCUCGCUCAGCCACCACAUUAACAACAUAAAACCCUCAUUCACACGAGAAAACACUCUCAUGUUCAUACACCUAUCCCCUAUCCUCCUCCUAUCCCUCAACCCCGAUAUCAUUACCGGGUUUUCCUCCUGUAA